RNAcentral lists this ribosomal RNA (921 nucleotides) under Streptomyces litmocidini. RNAcentral's name for it is "16S ribosomal RNA". It matches the Rfam family "Bacterial small subunit ribosomal RNA", at positions 269 to 1230 of the family's 1533-position model. The record is from RNAcentral. Lineage: Bacteria; Bacillati; Actinomycetota; Actinomycetes; Kitasatosporales; Streptomycetaceae.
CUAGCCAAAGAACUGGAGCCGAUGAUUACCGUCAGAACGGUCACAUUGAUAUAUAGUAUCAACUCUAUUUUAGAGCAGCAGUGGGGAAUCUUUGACAAUGGUCUAACGACUGAUCAAGUUAUCUAUAAGAAGGGAUUUAUAAAAUAUAUAUUUAUAUAUCUUCUUUGGAAGGAAUAUAAAUAGAUAAAAGAAUAUAAAUAAAGAAUAACUAUAAACUUCUAAAUAAUUAUAAUAAUGAUAUAAUUAUGUAAUAGUCCCGACCAAAACAUGUGCCAGCAGCUGCGGUUAGACAUGGGGGGCAAGCAUUGUUCAAUAAGGCUUAAAGGUUCCGUAGAACAUAAAAUAAAAUAGAAUAAAUUAGAUUAAGUAAAAUGAAAAGGAUAUAUAUUGUUAAUAUAAUUUAGAUAUAUCUUAGACAGCCAGUAAUUUACUUAUAAUUUAUUGACGUUGUGGGAAGAAAGCUAUGGUAGCGAGAUGGAGUCGUCGACCGUUUAGUCGUAGCAGUGAACUAUGAAUACUAUAUUGAGUUUAAAUUUAAAUUUAAAUAGAAAAGUGAAAAUGAAAAGUAUUCCGCCUGACAAGUAAGCUCGCAAGAGUGAAAAACAAGACAUUAGACGGUUUUAGCUAUUAGCAGUGGAACAUGUUAUUUAAUUGGAUUAUCCACCAAAAACCUUACCAUCUUUUGAAUAUUAUAUAUAUUUUUUUAUAUAUAUAUAUUUAUAUAUAUAUAUAAAUUAUUUAUAUUUAUACAGGCGUUACAUCGUUGUCGUCAGUUCAUACUGUGAAGUUUUAUGUUAAGUUACUUAAUGAACGUAAUCCUACACCUUAUUAGGUAUUUCCUUUUUUAGAAAUUUAAUUAUAAGUUUAGGUUGAAGACUAAUCAUGAUGACCCUUAUAAGAUGGGCUAUAGACGUGUUACAA